GUUACUUGAAUAACCUAAAUCCAACCCAAAACGUAUAUCUUCGCAAACGUCUUAAUAUAUUUACCUGGUCGUAUCGGCGCUCGUUAAUUCGUUACGCAAACUCAAUAACGUUUCUCUGUCUCUCUCGAACGAUGUGCCCGCACUGUCCCCACGAAUGAUAUCGAGACGGCGCGAUUUCUCGACUCGCGACGCGUCCUCAAAUAAUGACGCAACGAAUGGACAAACUAUUAUUACAUCGAGCCACGCGACGAGCAACAAGUAUCACGGUUUUUGCGAGGCACGCCAGGAACUUCGGUCACGCAGGAUUCCCUCGUUGACUGCACGUGACACUAAUGCACGGUUGAGCGCGCGCGCGCGUGCGUGCACGAACACGUCGAAACAAGGAAGGGUCCCCGAAAACACUCAGACGACCCUGAGAAAGAAUUGAAUGGCACAAAACAGACAAUGAAUCUACACUUGCGGGGAACGCGCUUGCAUAUGGUGAAGGUUCGUUUCAGCUGACCAGGGUCGGACAUUGUCAUGUUAAUGAAUGGAAGACACAUUUUCAAGGCAAAACUUGCGCUUGUUCGUGGAUUGCGUGCUACGUAAUUGCCUUAUACCUGAACAAAGUCGCGUAUAAUGUAAGCUGACACGAAGAUGAUGAGAUAACAGAGGAAGACGCAAUUUCACAUCGAACUUGAUUUUGAAAUGUACAUUGGACUGAAG
Molecule: unclassified non-coding RNA, 705 nt
Filed under: Bombus terrestris (buff-tailed bumblebee)
Lineage: Eukaryota; Metazoa; Arthropoda; Insecta; Hymenoptera; Apidae
Description: misc RNA ENSBTSG00005021073.1
Source: RNAcentral